UCCCUGGUGGCUCAGAGGUUAAAGCAUCUGACUGGAAUGCGGGAGACCCGGGUUCAAUCCCUGGGUCGGGAA
Ovis aries (sheep) is the source of this 72-nucleotide transfer RNA. It matches the Rfam family "tRNA". From Rfam's summary of the family: Transfer RNA (tRNA) molecules are approximately 80 nucleotides in length. Lineage: Eukaryota; Metazoa; Chordata; Mammalia; Artiodactyla; Bovidae. The record is from Rfam.